This 355-nucleotide ribosomal RNA is filed under the name uncultured bacterium. RNAcentral describes it as "bacterial SSU rRNA". It matches the Rfam family "Bacterial small subunit ribosomal RNA", at positions 1149 to 1503 of the family's 1533-position model. The record is from RNAcentral.
CUGCCGGUGACAAUCCGGAGGAAGGUGGGGAUGACGUCAAGUCAUCAUGGCCCUUACGGCCAGGGCUACACACGUGCUACAAUGGUCGGUACAAAGGGUUGCCAAGCCGCGAGGUGGAGCUAAUCCCAUAAAACCGAUCGUAGUCCGGAUCGCAGUCUGCAACUCGACUGCGUGAAGUCGGAAUCGCUAGUAAUCGUGAAUCAGAAUGUCACGGUGAAUACGUUCCCGGGCCUUGUACACACCGCCCGUCACACCAUGGGAGUGGGUUGCUCCAGAAGUAGCUAGUCUAACCGCAAGGGGGACGGUUACCACGGAGUGAUUCAUGACUGGGGUGAAGUCGUAACAAGGUAGCCGU